RNAcentral lists this unclassified non-coding RNA (256 nucleotides) under Hevea brasiliensis (rubber tree). The record is from RNAcentral. Lineage: Eukaryota; Viridiplantae; Streptophyta; Magnoliopsida; Malpighiales; Euphorbiaceae.
AAUCCUCGGAAAUGUGUAAUGCUUACAAAUGAACAACAUUCGUAAAAAUGUUGGCUGCAGCCUAAGUUUGCGUGUGUAGUGUACUUGCUGUAAUUUCAAUGUUUGAUCAUAUUAACUUCCAGGUAAAGAUUAUGAGGUGAUGGUGUUUGGAUCUAUCUGUAAACUCGUAAGGGAGCAUUAUUGGCAUGCACUGUUUGUAGGUGGUGGUAAUGAUUGUCAUUACUCCUGAGGCCUACUCCAUUAUUACUUAUGUGCU